This 578-nucleotide ribosomal RNA is filed under the name CFB group bacterium epibiont of Rimicaris exoculata. RNAcentral's name for it is "bacterial SSU rRNA". It matches the Rfam family "Bacterial small subunit ribosomal RNA", at positions 126 to 723 of the family's 1533-position model. Lineage: Bacteria; Pseudomonadati. The record is from RNAcentral.
CUACUUUUAAGAGGGAUAGGCGAAGAAAUUGGAUUAAUACUAUAAUAUUGAUAUUUGGAUAAAUAUUAAUUAAAGUUUGGCGGUAAAAGAUGGGCAUGCGUUUUAUUAGUUAGUUGGUAAGGUAAGGGUUACAAGACUACGAUAAAUAGGGGUCCUGAGAGGGAGAUCCCCACACUGGUACUGAGAACGGACAGAUCCUACGGGAGGCAGCAGUGAGGAAUAUUGGACAAUGGGCGAGAGCCUGAUCCAGCCCUGCCGCGUGCAGGAAGACGGCCUAUGGGUUGUAAACUGUUUUUAUACAGGAAGAAACCACUUACCUGUAGGGUGCUGACCGUACUGUAAGAAUAAGCAACGGCUAGCUCCUGCCGGCCCCCCGGUAAUACCGAGGGUGCCAGCGUUAUCCGGAAUCAUUGGGUUUAAAGGGUCCCUACGCGGAUUAUUAACUCAGACGUGAAAUCCACCCCUUACUGUGGAACUGCCUUUGAUACUGGUAGUCUUGAGUUAUAUGGAAGUAGAUAGAAUGUGUACUGUAGCGCUGAAAUGCAUAGAUAUUACCCCCAAUACCCAUUGCCAACGCC